Molecule: long non-coding RNA, 474 nt
Organism: Pipra filicauda (Wire-tailed manakin)
Lineage: Eukaryota; Metazoa; Chordata; Aves; Passeriformes; Pipridae
Exons: 3
Source: RefSeq, a predicted model, not a curated record
CCACCUUACAAACGCCAGGACCAGGGUCAGGAGGAGCAGGGAAACGCUAUUGCUGGAGACGAACAGAGCCAGACUGCAGGGGAGAUGGCAGUGGUGCAGGUACCCAACAGUAUGCAUGCAGAGUGAUAGAUGCAAUGGGGCAGGGAAGCAGACACACUUGUUGUGGAGUGCAAGAUUUCCCCCUGAGGGGGAAUCAGCCUCCCUGUCACUUGGGAGACAGAGACAGGGAAAGUUUUGCACAGGAGGACAGAAAACUGCCUGCAAAAGCCAGAGAUACAAGAAGAUCAGAGAGAAAGGGAAGAGUGUGCUCCGUGUAUUCAGCCAUUCAAGUGCUAUGUACUCGGAUACCGUCUGGGUGAGCCGAAGCAUUGCUCUGCAAAUAUUGACAGUCUCUUCAUUCAAGCAAGAGCUCUCAGAGUCUAAUUUUAAGUGCUCAUUUUGUGUAUUCCUCAAUAAAAGUCAGGCAAUUAGGGG